This 30-nucleotide non-coding RNA is filed under the name Mus musculus (house mouse). Lineage: Eukaryota; Metazoa; Chordata; Mammalia; Rodentia; Muridae. The record is from RNAcentral.
UGCGUGGCCCUGAUGAAAUGAAAUAUAAAC